Leucoraja erinaceus (little skate) is the source of this 2281-nucleotide long non-coding RNA. RefSeq lists it as uncharacterized. Lineage: Eukaryota; Metazoa; Chordata; Chondrichthyes; Rajiformes; Rajidae. The transcript is spliced from 3 exons. The record is from RefSeq and is a predicted model, not a curated record.
GAACGCUGAGGCCCUGUACAAGAAGGGACAGAGACGCUGUACUUUUUGAGAAGACUCUGCUCCUUCAACAUCAGCAGUAAGAUGCUGCCAAAGUUCUACCAAUCGGUGGUAGCCAGUGCCAUCUUCUUCGCUGUUGUGUGCUGGGGCAGCAGGGCGAAGGCUGCAGAUGCCAAUAGGUUCAACAAACUCAUCAGGAAGGCUGGCUCCGUCCUGGGGGUUGAGUUGAAUUAAUGGGAGGUGGUCUUGGAGGGGACGAUGCUCCUCAAACUGUGUAGUAUCCUGGACAAUACAGCUCACCCCCUCCAUGACACACUGGUCAAUCUGAGGAGUACCUUCAGCAACAGACUGGUUCCACCAAGAUGCAGUACAGAACCCCACAGGAGAUCCUUCUUCCCUGUGGCUAUCAAGCUGUACAACUCCUUCCCCUUCUGUCGUGGGUUUGACUGAGACUGACUCCACUCCCCACCAAUCUUUGCACAUCCCCAAUCCUUUCUACUCGUCACUUUAAUUUGAUGUUUCAUGUAUUUUGUGUUUUUAUGACUGUUGACAGAUCAAUUUCCCUCAUGGGAUAAAUAAAGUUCUAUCGUAUCGUAUUGAAAUAUGGCUGCUGAUCGUGCUUAUGCCAUAGCUUGAAGCAUUGCGUGCUUGUUUACGGAUCCUCAUAAUAUCGAUAAGGUAGUAAAGAUUCACUUCUCAAAUUCGUACGUUUAUCAAACAUUUUUUGUAAUGUGUAGAGCGCAAAGCGCUGGAGUACUGUAACUCAAUGGAUCAGGCUGCAUAUCUGGAGGAUAUAGAUAGGUGACGUUUCAGGUCGGGACUCAUCUUCAGAAGAUUUCAGCUUUCUAUUUCCAUUUUCUGCAAUGCAUCAGCCCAGUUGCAUUUAUACUGCUUCUUGAAAAGUUUGGGGCAAUGGUGUUAAAACCUUGAGACAAGAAUCUGGAAUGAUAUGAACCAUUCCAGGAAUGUAUGAAAUUCUGCAGGAUUCCUUAGAUGCUUGAUAUUCAUCAUUGUAUUAUCUGGACAACUGUUGGUACCACGGCAAAUUUUGUAAACCUGAUGGUCCUGAUUCUUUCAACUGUACAUCAAGCUCUACUAAAUUCGUAAAGAAUAGUUUUAAUAACAAACUAUAAUUUAAAGGCACUUUAAGUCAAUGCAGCACAAUCUUAUUGUUUUAUCUGUCUUAAGUACAACUAUUAUCAAAGUAAUCAAAUUGCUGUAAAUAAUUUUUAGCAAACUCUCUUUCUAAUUUCUCAGCCACUUCGUCUGCUUGGGUCUUUAUGGAAUAAGAAUCUGGCCUUGGACUGCAAUAGACUGAUUGAAUGAUGGUGUCUGAAUGGCAAAGUAUUUCAAAUGAAUUUGGUUCUUUUGUCAGAAAUCCAGUGUCUGCAGUUUUUUGAACAAACGGUAACCUCCCGGGAUGUGAUACUUGGUUAAUGUUUUGAGAAAACCUCGGCUACAAGUGAAAUGGAAUCAUUUAUGAAUUCUUGCAAACUUGCAAACCUCGGCUGCAAGUGAAAUGGAGUCAUUUAUGAACAACACAUCUCACUUGUGGAUCACAAAUCAUAGACUGGAAACUCAUGCUUGCACAAACUGAACGGGUUGGUAACUUAAUUGGCCACCAUAUGUCGCUUCUAGUGUGAAGGUGAGUGGUAGAAUCUAGGAUUAGUCAUUGUCAUUGUAAAUUAUCAUUGUGGACUUUGUGGGUCAGAAGGCCUCUUCCCACGCUGUAUCUCUUUCUAACCUUAUGACUCCAAGCAGCAGACAUGCGAAGAGUGUCUCUGUAAAUGGAGUAUUCUGAGCAAAAUAUUUUGUGAAUGUACUCUGAUUGAUUCAUGAGAAAUUAAGAUUAAGAGGGGAAUCUUAAUUUUAAUUGAUUCAUUUAGUGGAGCAUGUAUCAUGAGUUUGGAAAGGAAAUGCAAAAAUAUAUGCAGUGUAAUUCACUUGAGAAACAGGUAAAAGACAGGUGAAGAGUGAGUAGUGGGAUGGCAAUCAUGGUGAGAUAAGGAAAAAUGCCAAUUUUCCAAAAUUUCCAGCAAUCAGUCUAUCCAUUUGUACAUUGAAACUGUAAUCUGCCCCUAUUUGUGAAAGAAGAAAUGGAACCAAUGAUAAUAUUUAAAGAGUGUUGGACAUGUAGGUGCAUAAGAAUGAGUUCGACAGAUGUGAGCCAAAUACAGGCAAAUUGGACUAGCUCAGGUUAGGAGAUUAUCGGCAUGGACAGGUCGGGCUGAGUGACCUGUUUCUGCACUCUAUGACUCUAUGGCUAUAUGUUUGAAAUGACUCA